UAAUUAUGUAUAUAUAUAUUUCUCUUUUUUUUUGUAGAUUGUGCAAAGCUAAAUGCCCAGAUGGGCGAAUUGACUGCACAGAAGGUGGAAAAUGAGAUACUUCUUGAGGUAAUACGAGCGCAAACUGUUACCAAAUGAUGGAUAUCUGUGUAUGUAAAUAUGUAUGUACAUAUGUAUACAUAAGCAUCUUUUUUUUAAUAGGAAGUUAAAACUUUAGAAGACGAUGCUGUUUUACAUAAACUAGUUGGUUUAGUCUUGGUAAAAGAAGAAAAGAGUAAAUGCUAUGACACUAUAACGAGAAGAAUACACUACAUACGUGGGGAAAUGGAAAGCAGAAAAAAAGUCAUUAAAAACUUGGAGGAGAAACUAAAAAAGUUGUUCGCGGAUGUAAUAUAAUAUAUAUAUAUAUAUAAGACAGUUAUAUUUAUCCUAUA
Molecule: long non-coding RNA, 434 nt
Filed under: Piliocolobus tephrosceles (Ugandan red Colobus)
Lineage: Eukaryota; Metazoa; Chordata; Mammalia; Primates; Cercopithecidae
Description: lncRNA (ENSPTEG00000002020.1)
Source: RNAcentral